UACUUUUGAAGUUUUAUACUAAAUUUGGGAUGACACAGAGAAGAUUAGCUUGGCCCCUGCACAAGGAUGACACGCAAAUUCGUCAAGUUUAAAUAAAUGAA
This 101-nucleotide small nuclear RNA is filed under the name Zalophus californianus (California sea lion). The record is from RNAcentral. RNAcentral also lists the same sequence under 1 other name. Lineage: Eukaryota; Metazoa; Chordata; Mammalia; Carnivora; Otariidae.